Molecule: long non-coding RNA, 1824 nt
Filed under: Triticum aestivum (bread wheat)
Lineage: Eukaryota; Viridiplantae; Streptophyta; Magnoliopsida; Poales; Poaceae
Description: long non-coding RNA (TAES_LNC010378)
Source: RNAcentral
AAUAGAGGACCUCACCUCUAGUUUGUAACCAGAGUAUGUACACCAGUACCUAUAAAUAGAACUUGUUGUUCUUAUCUAAUAUCUCAGACUAGAUCUUGUGCUCCAGGAGUUUUGGAUUAAACUCCUGCUACCAUAUUGGCCUAUAAUUGCCUCUAGACCGAUAUGUAGCACAACACGGUGAAGUAGUUCCUUCAACACUAGUGUUGUACACUUUGUAGCAGCAAGGUGAGUUGUUCCUCCACAACCCUAUGCUGCUUCAGAGCCCAAGAUAACUGAGUGAAAGAGAGCUGCUUAUAGUAUUAAAAACGCAAAAGGGAAAUAUACUAAAAUGCACAAUGUUUACAUGAUUGACUUGUCACAUUAGAGGCAACACCAUGAAUGUCAGAUGAAGUUACUUACUUUUCAAAAGAUGUAUAGCACAAGAAAAUAGUGACCAAGAAAAAAAAAGUGUGCUCACAAAUAUAUGAUAUAUGGAUAUACAAAUAGAAUAGACAUGCAUCAAAGAUUUUCUGUAAUAUUGUUUUGAAUUGCUUGAUCCUGAUAUUAAUAGAGAAUGUGACAACAUGAACAGAAGGACAUUACUACUAUUUGUAUCUACAUCUGACACUGACAGUUAUCAGUCUUGAAUUAGCAGAGGUAGCUCUAAUCACUAAAGGAAGUACUAAUCAAAUUUUCAUCCCCUGAAAUAAGUCUGCAGUUUAUACAAAUAGAUAAAGAAUUCUGCAGCUAUUUAUUGACGCGAGACUUCAACAACCCAAGGUCAAGUAUUACAAGCACAGGAACCUGUUGCUACCACUGUAGUCAUGGAAUAGGUACAGUAGUGAAUUUUAAAUACACAGAAUAGAUCCAAACUUGGAACGACUUGUGCUAACAAGAUCAGAUAAAACUAAAUUAUAUCUGAGGGCUGGGUACUUACGGAGACAGGGCUCAGAAUUUUCAGUGUUGCACAGUAAGAUGUACGACAUAUAUUUAUUUUCAGUGUUGCACAGUAAGAUGUACGACAUACAUUUUGGAUUAACAUUUAAUUUUGUACUGUAACUUAUGUGUUAUCAGGCAGGCUAUUUUCCAUCCUGAUUAGUUAUAUAGCUAAGAGUGCAAAGUCUACCUUUCACUUCCUUGAAAUACUUUCCAGCAUUCUCACUGCAAAUACAACUAAUAUUUUUGUAGUUGUACGAUCAUAUCCUGUAAGAACUUGGACCUUUGAAAACAUUAGAAGGUGCUCCAGUAGAGAUUUCAGGGACAGAAGUGUACCUUUUAAAUGACUUGUCUUGAUCUAGAUGGUUUACAUCAUCGCAUGCAUCUCCUUUUGCAUUGGCCACAUUGCCAUGCAGACUGGUUGACGGGUCAAUGGUCAGGUACUGCAAGGGGUUGCUAGGGACAUUCUCCAGGACAGCAUUUACAAUGGAACUCUCUGAACUGGUCAGCCUACACUUCUGUCUUGGUGAAUUUGGACCAUACACACAGCUAACUUCAACCCCCAAAUCACUUUCACCCCUUACAGCAGCAUCCAACGAGUCCCCGGUCUCACCUGCUGGUUGCAGAUCCGCCUCCUCAAUCGGAAAAAUUGGGCUCUGAAUUGUCCUCAGCGCAUCCAAGAUAGCAUCAGAGUCGCUACAAGCUCUCCUAAGAAGUGGAAGGUUUGGCAUUUUCCCAGAAUCUGCAAGGAGAUCAUCUAGCCAACACGGUGGUUCACCAAAGAAAGGAUCCUCUGAUGGAAACCUGCAGCUCUGUGUGAACAAGCUGUCAUCUCUUCCUGUGAUUUGAGGACCCAGAGGCGGGCAGCGGGGAGGAAGAUGUGGCGACCGAGACAUGAUGAGAAAUACA